GGUGGACGGAUGGAAGGUGUUUUUAGUGUGCUUUUACUUUCUCCCUAUUCUAGUCUGCUAGUGGCAAUAUUUGCCAGCCUGCAUCACAAAGCAGGUUAGGCAAUAAAUAGAAAACAAAUAUUUCUUUUCAAAUGUUGGUCAGUUCUCACAGUAAAGCACAAUCUCAGAAACAAUUGCUCUGACAUAACUGAAGAGGCAGCAAACUGUGGCAGCGCAGCAGCUUUAGGAAGACAAGAACUCCUUACAACAAUUUUCCACUAAAGCUGAUGUAAGGCUGCUGGCACUCAACCCUGAUACAAAUGGCAUGCCUAGCAUUGUGCAGAUAACAGAACUAUGCCAGCCUCUAGAUAUGAUUCCAGGUUUUUGAGGAAUUAUAAUUCCUCAGCUGAAGAUUAUUUUGCCUAAGCCCUUUCCUGUCAGCUUCCAGAUAAUCAGCUUCUACUCUCUCCAACCAUUUUUCCCAGCCAUCUUCAGUACUGACUGGAAACAAAGCUAUUUCCUAUUUUCUUCCCUGACGCUGGGGUGACAUCCAGGAAACGGAGCACAUCGGAAGAUCUCCCACUGUCCGUGCUGCAGCAGCUGCAGGUCCUCGGGAGGAACAGUGACAGUGAGACUCCAGGUCCAGCAGAGGUAAGUGCAGCAGAAGUGCCUGCAGCCUUCCUUUGAGAGGUUGGGAAGAAAUUGUGCUGUCAGCCUUCAACAGCCCCUUACCGAUAUCAGGCUUCAGAGACUGAGGUACCACAUUUGGCCAGAUUACUAUUAUUGUAUAUAUAUAUUUUGAACAAGGACAGAAAAAGACACCUCUACUAUUUCAAAAUGACUUUCUGCAAAAAGGAAGGCUCUACUCAUAAAAGCUCUUCACAAGUAAAGGAUGAAAAAGCUUUCUCUUUGGCUCAGCAGUUCAUUAUCUUCAGCAGCUACCUGCCUUUGCAGUGUUAGAUCCCCUUCUAUUCCUCUGUCCCUUACGCUCCUGCCUCCUGCUCCCAGCCCUCUGGUACCCUCCUCUUCCUUUUACCAGCUCCGCUGCUCAUUUGACCUCCAAGUAAGUUGAUUCAGCUCCCUAAAAUGAAGCAGGAAAAAGAAGAAAAACCAACCCAGCCUUUUAUAUGCUUGCUCUUUUAUAAGGUUAGAAGAUUAAUCAGCUCACCGAGAGGUCGGAUGCCUCAGAGCUGCCGCAAGAGAAGCCAUGAAACUACUCAUUCUUUGUCAGCAAGUCGCUCAAUCAGCUUUGCCGAUCUGAAACACCACUUUCAGAAGCAAAGAAGUCACCAGUGCUGAAACUUGACAAAGAGAACCAGGCAGACUUGUGAGAAAUUUAAACGCAAUAGCUUACACUUGCAUAUACAUAAGCGACUAAAAUAAGAUGUCGAUGUUACCUGCUGACAUCCAUUAUAACCACGUAGCUGUCAGCUAAAUGUUAAUAGCAUGUUGGGGGUGGCAGUGGGAAAGACUGUGCUCUGAAACACCGUAAGGAGACGCUGCAGCAAGGAGGCGCCAGGGCUGAGAGAAACUGCAGUCAGAGCCAGAAAAUGCAAGGAAAGAGGAAGGAGUGCACACAGAGGAGACAGGCAACAAGGGGGGGUUAACGGUGGUUUUAACAGGGACACGUACACGUAACCGUGGUGGUGGGGAACCCACCAAAACCCAGAGGAGCACGGGCUGUGGGACCCAGCCGAGAAAUACCAGGGGCUUCCUGCGGUUCCCAGGUGAGCGCAGGCAAGUUGUACGAGCUCAGUUGUGAGCGCUCUGCAGAGGCUUUGAUGGCUCUGGUUGUUCACAUGCCGUUUCAGACACCAGGGGAAAAAAGUCCCCUUCUCCAUCAAGAGUCCAGAUGCAGAAGCAACCUACACUGUUUAAACCUCUGCUCGAGCAUCCUAUGCUGGAUUUUAUUAUUUGAGCUUGACCACAGCUUAUCAAAUGCCUUUUCUCAGACGCAGAACUAAAAGUUUUGAACCUGCAGAGCAAGGCUGUUUGAACUUCUAGCAUCUUCUUCUAACUACAUAUUUGAGUGAUCUCCUGCUGCAGGUUUGGGGAUUUUGUCUUUCUGGAUUUUACAAAACUGAUUUCAGCUGCUAUCGCUGUGUUUUUCACAGCAGACAACACUGAAAACUUUCUCCAGGAUGACAAAUACAUUUCAUUUCCAGUAGGUCAGCAGCAGGAGAGACUUACUGGUAUGAAGAUGGGCAUAAAGUCAGCUGAGUAAUGUAUUUGUUAAUGUGUGAAAUUGGUACGUUAAUUCCCAACUAUUUAACCCACAGGCAUACGGAAGUAGAAAUUUAAGGACAGGAAAAGAAGAAAUUCCCUAACACCGUGCAGUCUCCUCUGCCCUCCACCACAGAGAGAUAACUAGCAGUUAUCCUGACGCAGACCAGAAAUUCUAUUAGAAAUUAAAAACCAUUUUCCACAUCCAGACCAUACCCGCACUUCUGCCAACUGACACUCAGAACAGCUCCUACCGACUCGCAGCAAACUACAAAAAUCCCAGACCACCACCACAAAGCUCCGCUUGCCCUUCAAAUCCCUGUUCAGGAGCAAGCAGCAGGGGCUGCGAUUUCACCUCAUUCUCAGUCCAGCCUAAUCGGGGACUGCUCCUCGGGCAAGGAUCAGCGCGUGCCUCCUCCCCCUGCAAGGAAGGACGAGCUCGCCGUCGGAGCAGACAACUGACCCAGCUCACUGGGGGAUUGCACAACUACUGGAUGUAAGGGAGAGGGCAGGGACGCGCGCUGGCUGACAGCUCCUCUCAUUCUUCUUGGAAGAUUAAAACACAUUAAAAACGGUUUGAUAAAAUAUUUGUCCUGGCCUCAAUACGUCGACCGAAAGGUGUGUGACUCAACAUCCAAAUUGCUGUAAUAAAAAUCAAGAGGCUAAGAAGUUUUAAAAUCCCUUUCCCUAAGGAAGUCUUCGCGUUUCAUUCUUCUGAGUUUUGUAACAUUGCCAUUAAAAUCUCCGAUGGGACAAGCCCCAGAGACCCAGUGGCAGAACGUACAGUUUAAACACUUGACGAAUUAUCCCCAGAAAUAUUUCAUUUGACUUCUUGAUAAGAGACACAUGAAAUCACGAAACUGGAGGGGAGCUGCACGGCAGAUGUGUAUGGCUGCACGCCUUCUGCGUGCUGAGUUUAUUAUUUUAUUGGCAAUGCUGAGAUAAUGCUUAGCAAGUUGGAUAAUCCUCCAGUCACCUGCUUUGCUACAUGAGCCGCUCUUGUUUUGUUUAACUGGCCCAAUUCACAAUAAAACUGUAUUUACAUUCUGCUUUUAAUUUUGCUGGCAUAGCGAAAAUGACAAACCCUAACUGUGGGAAUAUUUCUAUCAAUAUAAAGGUGUUUUUUACAGUCAUAGUGUAUUUUGGAUGGGAAGAGAAGUGAAUUAUACCCAUGUAAGACGAUUUCCUAUCAACAGAAUUUUUAUGUUAAGGUUUGCACAAGAAUAAAGGAGGUGGGGGCAAAAGUCACGUACUUAAUUUGAAACACGCAGAACUUAUAUAAAAGCUGGAAUGUGGGCUGAACCUAAAAACUCGCUGAGUGAGCAACUCGGCAGUUUUCAGGAUUUGGGGAGCGCAGGUGUCUUCUACCCCCUGGAGGGAUCUAAAGAAAAGUCUACUCAGCCGUCGCUAAUUAUGGGCCAGAUACUGGGAAGACAACACAGGAUGACACUGUAAGAGUGGGAAGGCAACAGCAAUUUGACGUGAGUCAAGCAGGAGACUUACAAGGUCACAAAAAGCACGUGGAAGAUCUUCAGCUUCAAGUGCACGUGCGCUUGGAGCUGGGCGUCUCAGCUGUAUUCAUUUAUUAAGCAAACCUCCUCCUCCACUUGCGCUAGUGACCAGGAGCACUGUAGCUUUUCUUUACGCCUCUAAAGAACGCACAAGAAACGAGCUGCUCCUAUUCUUGCUAGAUUUGCGGGCAAUUUGGCCGCUGACCUCAAUAGCUGAAGGGCUGCACCCAGGUUUAGGUCCUGGCACAAGACAAAUUCCUUUUGGUUGGGUCAGACGGACCUGGCUGCAGCAAACGGCGGUUGGCAAUCGCCGUAAUUCUGCUGCUUUUCCUCCCGUGUUUCCUAACUUACCUUAAAAGGAUUUCUGCGAGGCGUAUUUACUGGACAAGGACACUAUUGCUGCAAAACCCUCCAAAGAUGCUCACAAACAUAUUCAGACCAGGAAGUCAAUCAGCUGGAGCCAAAGCAGCUCUCACAUUCAUUACCUGGUGAGUGCUACUGCUACGCCCCCGGCUCCCAAUCUAUUGGGGGCAUCAGGCUCGGUGCCUGCCUGCGUGCGAGCCCCACGGUGCUGGAAAGAAAUGAGAGGCAGGGGUGAUGGGGACCUGAGCUGACCCCGGAGCAAGAGGUGCCCCUGAGCUAGCCACAACUUAGCGAGGGGACAACGGAGAAUGAAUCACAACCCAGAGGUUACUCGUGCUGCUAACUGCUGAUGUACGAUAAACCAUGGACAAGGAGACUGGUGCUCUGAGGAAAAAAGGAAAAAAAAUCUUCCUCUCCUGAAGAAAGGAAUUUGAUUGUAAAUGAAUUACAUUGAAAGGACAAGUUUUGCAACAUAGCUAUUUUUAAAAUUAUUUAGACAAAGGACUUUUAAUGCCUUUUUAUUACAGAUUGCACGGAAGAUUUUGCACAGCAAAGAGGGGAAGACAAAAAAAAAGCUGACAAUCAGGAUUGAGUGAUUUUAAAACUUUAUCUUUUCAUGGGAUGCAAGAUUUUUAGAGCUGACGGUAGUGUGUGCAUGUGUGGGGGGGUUAGAAUGAGUUUAGGAAGGUAGAAAAGUUGUUCAGCUCUUUAUUGUUUUGUUCAUAAAACAUACCUGCACUAUUCUAGAACAGUGUAACACUUGAAGUAGCUGGUGAACAACAACAGCUUUUUUGUUGUUGUUUUAUUUCACUGCCAAAUGAAAGAUGUAAUAGAAUUGCUGUCUUAAAUAUUAUUGCUAAAGAAAAAAAGGAAAAGUUUCCAGCAUAUUAAAUAAUAUUGAACCUACAGUAUAAAUAUUUGAGGAAAGUGACUCCCUCUGCACGGAACGUCUAUUUUAAAGUACUGCUUAUUCCAGUCCUUCCCUUUGCAACAUAGGAUUUUGCAGCCUCAAGACUUUUUUCCCCCUUUUCUGAGGAUCUCUGACCAUUCAACGUAGCAGCAUUCACUACAAAGCAGUUCACUUGCUCUAAAGCUGAGAAUUUCUUUUAAUGAGUGCUGGAAGCAGCUGCGAUUGUAGCAUGUGACUCACAGCACAGCACCUCUGAGCGCAGUACGAGCUAUAUGGUGGUUACAGCCCCAUUUCCUCUCGCCAGCUCCUCCUUCCUCUCCCCAGUAAGGCCAUGCUUGUUUAUAGACCAGAGUUAUCACUGCUGUGCAGACAGAACAACUUUCAGAACCUUGAGAACUAAAAAUGGCAAUUCCUUGAUGUUUUUAAUAGUAACGGCUUGACAGAUACUGAAGUUCAAAAAUAAACAGCUUCAGUACCCCAUGACAGCUCACGGCUUUCUGUAAAGUUGUCCACUCAAACCCCAAGGAAAGCUUAGUCGGCCAUUACUAUGCAGAUGAUCACAGCACCAGCUGUUUGAUUCUCUGAGCAUCAGUAUUCUCUGGCAUCACACACACACACAAAAGACGAGCUCAGAAACCCCGUGUCUUAGAGACAGCCAGCUUCUGGUGAUCUACAGAGUAGGAAAAGCAUGGGCAAGUGGUCUCCUUUAUGGUCUUUGUGUACAAUUAAACGUGCAGCGCAAAGAGGACUCCUGGAACUUCUUUCAAGCUAUUGCUGCUUUUCACAUCAAGUUAAAUUGCUAAUACGUACUAAAGGAUAAGUUAUUGUACAUGUUUAAAAAAAGCACCCGAGUCAUUAUGACUUUCAUCCCAGUUUGGAUCACAGGCAAUGCUCAAUGUAAUCAAACCGGAGGGGGACCACCACUGAAAAUGAGACACAGUCACCCACUCAGUUCUCAUCUGCAGGAGGAUUGUAGCUCCAGCAGGCUCUGGGGAGCUCACAGCUGGAGAAACCCCCAAUAAAUCCUCUUCUGACACACAUCGUCAUAGCUGAAGACUCCAUCUGUGACAUCUCCCUGCAAGUCCCUACUGAGAACGUGUACGUGUAAAUUCUUUCAGUGCUCACGAUCCAGCCACACUGGGUGGAUUUUCUGUAAGUAGGUUCUUCUGAGAGGACAACUCUGUACCACGAGUGCAAUAAAAGCUUCACAUAGAAAAGGAUGUGAGAUCCUCAUCCACUCAUGAGCUGGCCACAUCAUUUGUUUUCUGCAAACAGUUUUUAUAAAAACAGUUGCUACGGUUUGCUCAAAACUUUCCCCCCAAGAACAUCAGCAUAAGGCUGGUGGAAAAUUUUAGUCAAGGCAGUCGGUUUGUCAGUUUGAGCAAAGUCAGAAGAGAGGACUAUAAUUGGCAGUGCUCAGGCAAUACAAAUAUAGAGCAGUACCCGCUCUACCUGUAAAACAGACUUACUACUCCCGAUUUGAUAUUAAAAAUUGGUUGUAUAAAAGUGCGUUUAAAAAGAAACUGUGUUUCUGUGUUGACAUUGCUCUAAGGAUAAAAAUAUUCACGGUAUCUUAACUAUCAACUACAAGCAGAGUUAGCACCACAAGUCACACAGACUUGCUGGAAGAUUUCCACUACCUCUUACUUUAAAAAAAUAUCAACUAUUACUAUCCUAUCAUGAUUUUCAUUGAAAACAGCUAUUUUCAGUUGCUAUUUAUGCUUGGAGCACAAAAUUAAGAUUCAAGCACAAAUCCACGAUUUUUUGUGGGAACCUCACACCAUCUAUGCCUGCUGCAGAAGAAUGGAAAACUCUGCUGUACUUGAAAAAAACUGAGAUUAUGUGAUCCAACAUAAUCUUGUAUCUACAGCCUGCCUAGCUCUUAGUCCUACUGCAAUUCCAACGGCAAAAAAUGAAUAGUUUUUAAACAAGUGCCAUUUAAUUACUGAGAAGUGCUUGCUCAGUAUGUGAUGAGUUUCUGCUUCAUGAAAAUGACUGCUUUAGAUGAAGUGUUUCUGGUAUUUUGUGUGAGCCACAUCCAGGCUGGGAUGUAAGAGUUUGGACUUGAAAUUUGAGGGGCACUGAAGGAGAACUCUGACAGAUCUAUCUGGGUAGUUCCUGCAGUGCUUUUGGUAAUUUCACCGGUGGGCAGAACGGGUGCUUCUCCACUACGGGGUACUUCUCCCUCCUCAGGGCACGCUGUGACCAGAGAGAGCUGAGGCAAGCAGCACCCGCCUGGUUUAACACCUGCGUGUGGUAAAUGUGCCGCAGGAACGCCGCAGGGCCACCUCCAUCCCGCCUCCCCUUCACGCCUCCUCACGGGGCCGCCUCCUCUCCCCCCUCAGGGCCGCCAACCCCAACCGCCCCCUCAGGCGCGGCCACGCGCAGGGGAGGGGCGGGGCUUCCCGCCGCCGGGCGCAGGCGCGCGCCCUCCCUUCUCGGGGACGCGCGCGCUCCCUCCGCGCAGGCGCAGUUCCGCGCUUCGCCUGCCGGGGGGCGGAGGGAGGAGGAGGAGCUCGGGCGCGGCGCAUGCGCGCAGUGGAGGGCGGUGGGAGGGGGGGGGGGAAGAGCGGCGGGUCUAUGUGGCGGGUGCGUGCGCGAGGGAGAAGGCGACGGGUUUCGUAACCGGCGCAGGCGCGCUCCGGGGCCCGCUGGGUGGAAGGGGAAGGAGAAGAGAGGAGGGGAAAAAAAAAAAUUAAAUAAAUAAAUAAAAAAAACCACCUCAGAGUUACGUCAGGAAAAGACGCCUCUGGGAUUCGAUGCAAAUGGGCUAAACCCCCAUGAGAGAACACCCCGUUAAGGAAAAUGGCCAUGUGCCCCUCGCUGGGUGCAGCUCUUCCCUCCCCAGCUGCGCUUUCUGCCCAUCCUUCUGUCAGUUUAGCAGACUUUUUGACAAUCUAGAACGAGAUUUAAGCUGCCUGCAGAAGGAGUUAGAAGGAGGUGUUUUUCUUCCUUAAUUUACUCGUGACACUGUCUCUUCUGACGUUAGUGGGGCUGUGCGAUGAGCCAGCACGAAAACCAAGCGAGCUGGUAAUAACAGCGGCAGCCACGUGUAUGUAGAUGAAAAAUUUAACAACCCAAGUGCUCCAUCAAAGCCCGUAAAACCAAGCGAGCUCCUUGGUUUCAGCAGGAUUGCAUCCCCAGUCUGGUUUGUUCCGUGAGUAUGCCAGCUACUGCCGUGGCACGUGGGCCUAGUAUGCUGCUGGGAACAGACAACUCUGAAAUCAGCUUUAUCUGUCAGGAUAGACCAGUUUAUGCACUGACACCGACAGUGCUGCCAGCGGAGCACUUGUGAAACCAGCCUGUGAUCAUGAGUCCUGCAAGGCCCUGCUAACCUUUUUCAUAUGUACUCAGUUAUUUAUCAGCCAAGCAGAAACAAACGGGCCUUGUGUAAUCUUCUCAUCCGCAGUUCUCCAACAGGACCUGUGUCACAGAUGGGGAACGUCCACGCUAGAAUCACCUGCUGAACAGACCAUGUUCUUCAAGGUCUACGCACACACAUACAUGUAGAAAUAUGCCUUACUGUGCAGCUACUGUCAAUAUUCUUAAUUUGCCAACUUCUCUAGGGAUAGUGCAGCUGUUUGAAGAGAGCCUGUGUACUGGCUUGUGUAAUACUGGUACCAGAGAGCAAUUAAUCUCUAUAGUCCUUACCUUAAGCAGAUGGUUUGAGAAAAUUUUGAAGAUAAUUCUCAAAGGUUUUGUGGUUUCAAGAGACACAAGACUCAAUCUGGCUGCAUUUCAUAUUUGAGUCUCAUUGACAUUAUUAACAUUGCAUAGAUGCCUUAAUUCCCUUAAGUCAGAUUUUCCUUGAUUGCAAUGAAAUGUAGGCAAGGAAUUCAUGUGCUAGAGCUAGUUGGGGUUUAAGUUGCCUCUUAAGUAGGUUAAUUUUGUCAAAUGUGUUCAUUCACAAUUGUUUGAAUACUUUCUCAUUCUUUAAGAAUAGCAUUUUUUUUUUUUAACAUUUCUAAUUUUAAAUGCUUUGAUGGAGCAAUAUAUUCUCUCUCUGUAUAUGUGUGGCUGCAGCUGUUAUUACCAGAUGCACAUUUGAUCAGUAUAAGGUUUGCUUUCCAUUCAGAGUAUCCAAUAGCUACUCAGAUUAGCUGUUGGUCACUCUUGCCAGCGAGAUUAAUCACUGGAAUUUUGUUAAAACACAAUCCCCUGCAAAGCAUGAACAUAAAGCAAACUAUAUAGAAAAUAUAAAUGAUUGUACAUGGAUCUGGUGAGAAAGCAUAUAUAUGAAAACUUAAACACUUGUUUUGUUUGUACGUAUAUGUAUAAGAAGCUACUCUUUUGUGAUGUAAAUGUAUUUUACAACAAGGCCAAAUUGUCUAUGCUGUACAGUUUGUAAUGUUAAUAUUUGUUUCAUUUUAAAUAUAACAAUAUUUGGAAGAAGAUCAUAUCCUUGAGCUAGGCAUUUUCCAGAUCUGUAGUUUCAAAGUUAUUUUUGAUUUGUAGACCCCUAAUUUUUUUUUCUGUGAAGGUUUGGGCCCAGUGUCAUUGAUUUAAAACUAAUGGCAUCAGGUUAUUUUAUUUUACAGUUUUAGAAGUCUCUCAGAUACACUUUGGCAGCCAUAUAUCAGCAGCUGAGAAAGAGUUUUGUAGAGAAAAGCUUGAUUUGGGGGAAGAGGAGGAGAGAAGAUAAAGAAAGAAGGGGCAUCAGAAGGAAUGUCAUGCAGUUUAACUUUGCUUCAUUUUGGGAGGGGAACCUUGACCGGGUAUGGAUGCAAAAUUUUUUUUCACCUUGGUAAAUUUUCUGAGUCUUCUGUCCGUUCUUUACUUUGGGGGCUUAAUAUGCUAUGGACGUAUGUACCACAUAUACAGGAGGAUAUGCUGCUGCCCCGUCCUUUCCUUGCAGGCAGUGUGGCUUCUCAAACACUGUGCUUCUCUCCUAGCUGCUGGAAGAGCAGAAAUACAGUACCCCGGGGGCCAGUGUAUGAUGUCUUGUUUCCACCAAAACCCUUGGAAUUAUUAUUGCCAAUGACAUAUUGGAGAGGGAGCUAAUUAAUUUCUAAAAAGCGUGCCAGCUCCCCCAGUUGGCCCCCAAGACUUUGUGGCGGAGCAGGCGCUAAUGCUGCGGGGCACACUGGCCCUUCCCCUGCAAUCCCAGGACCUCUGGGAAAUGAAGCACUGUCACCUGUCACGCAGAGAAUGGCUGCAUGAACCCGUUCCUCUCUGCCACUGCAGAAUGCAGCAAAUGCUUCUGCUAACACCAGAGGUCUCGCUUUAUUGAUCCCAAAUACUCUGCCAAAACACAGGUAAAGUAUGACUUGCCAAAAUACACAGACACAAUUUUUCACCAGUUUCUCAGUGCUGACAGCUGUCCAUGGAAAAGAACAUGUGUUUCAUCUUUGGUUUUGUUCUUGCACGGUCAUAUGAAACUUCCCAUAAUGACUGUUAACAGGUAAAAGGAAAUUUUACUCCUCCUAGGUAGAGCCUGUCACCACUCAUCACAAAAAUACUGACAGUCAGUAGUCAGAGAAUGGGAACAGACCGACAACCAGGCAGUAAGAUAUGCAACGUGAAUAUUACGAACAUAACAGUGUUUCCAUAACCCAUGCGAAGCAUGGUACACAAACAAAACUCUUUCUGGAGUUUUAAAUUUUUAACAGGAAAAUAGCUAUAAUACAAUAUAAUGUAAAACUCCCCUCUUCAUCCCUGUUUUUUGCAGUUUCGUAGUGCCAAGUUCUGAGCUUUUUUAGCUGUCACCCUCAUACUUCCGCAAAUAGCAGAAUCUAGUUAAUAUUUUCCACUCAGAAUCCACAUGAUUCUAGCAGCUUGGACAGUUUCAGAUAAAAGCUGCCAGAUAACGACAAGCUAGAUACUACCACAGAAAAUGCUCAAUAGGAGUAAGCAGAUGCAUACUUAAGAAGGUGAUAGUUCCAUGGGUCAACAAUGGUUCAGAGAAUAAUAGGCUACAAAACAUUAAGGCGUGCAUUCUCUAAGCAGGCAGCUGGUCAUGGUACCGGCCUUAUUGUUUAAAAGAAUAAUGUAUCUUUGCUUGCAACUAGUAAGCCAUUCAGGGAUG
Cygnus olor (mute swan) is the source of this 11011-nucleotide long non-coding RNA. RefSeq lists it as uncharacterized. NCBI's taxonomy places the organism in Eukaryota, Metazoa, Chordata, Aves, Anseriformes, Anatidae. The transcript is spliced from 2 exons. The record is from RefSeq and is a predicted model, not a curated record.